Molecule: ribosomal RNA, 397 nt
Filed under: uncultured bacterium
Lineage: Bacteria
Description: bacterial SSU rRNA
Rfam family: Bacterial small subunit ribosomal RNA
Source: RNAcentral
AUUGAACGCUAGCGGCAUGCUUAACACAUGCAAGUCGAACGGUAACAGGCCUAGCUUGCUAGGUGCUGACGAGUGGCGAACGGGUGAGUAACGCGUAGGAAUCUACCUCGUAGUGGGGACAACCCGAGGAACUCGGGCUAAUACCACAUAAUCUCUACGGAGCAAAGGGGGCCUCUAUUUAUAAGCUCUCGCUAUGAGAAGAGCCUGCGUCAGAUUAGUCNGUUGGGUGGGGUAAAGGGCCUACCAAGGCAACGAUCUGUAGCUGGUCUGAGAGGACGAUCAGCCACACUGGGACUGAGACACGGCCCCAGACUCCUACGGGGAGGCAGCAGGUGGGGGAAUAUUGGACAAUGGGCGAAAGCCUGAUCCAGCAAUGCCGCGUGUGUGAAGAAGGCCU